RNAcentral lists this ribosomal RNA (286 nucleotides) under uncultured bacterium. Its description in RNAcentral is "partial 16S ribosomal RNA". It matches the Rfam family "Bacterial small subunit ribosomal RNA", at positions 775 to 1066 of the family's 1533-position model. The record is from RNAcentral.
GGAUUAGAUACCCUGGUAGUCCACGCCGUAAACGAUGAGUGCUAAUUCUGGGAAUUUUUCUGGGGUAAAGCUAACGCGUUAAGCACUCCGCCUGGGUAGUACGAUCGCAAGAUUAAAACUCAAAGGAAUUGACGGGGGCCCGUACAAGCGGUGGAGCAUGUGGUUUAAUUCGAUGAUAACCGAAGAACCUUACCAGCUCUUGACAUGUACAUUUGGGUUUCACGAAAGUGGACUUUCAUUUAGUUGGGUGUACACAGGUGUUGCAUGGCUGUCGUCAGCUCGUGCC